CAAUAGCUCAGCAGGAUAGAGCAACUGCCUUCUAAGCAGUAGGUCGUGGGUUCGAAUCCCUCUUG
This 65-nucleotide transfer RNA is filed under the name Candidatus Timburyella stercoris. It matches the Rfam family "tRNA", at positions 5 to 66 of the family's 71-position model. From Rfam's summary of the family: Transfer RNA (tRNA) molecules are approximately 80 nucleotides in length. Their secondary structure includes four short double-helical elements and three loops (D, anti-codon, and T loops). Lineage: Bacteria; Bacillati; Bacillota; Clostridia. RNAcentral also lists the same sequence under 1 other name. The record is from RNAcentral.